UCCGUAGGCGGUGUGGCAAGUCGGAAGUGAAAUCUCUGGGCUUAACUCAGAGGCUGCUUCCGAAACUGCCGUGCUAGAGUGCGAGAGAGGCAAGUGGAAUUGCGGGUGUAGCGGUGAAAUGCGUAGAUAUCCGCAGGAACAUCCGAGGCGAAAGCGGCUUGCUGGAUCGCAACUGACGCUGAGGGACGAAAGCUAGGGGAGCGAACAGGAUUAGAUACCCUGGUAGUCCUAGCCCUAAACCAUCAGGACUUGGGGUUUGCCCUGUACGGGGCAAGUCCCGUAGCUAACGCGUUAAGUCCUGCGCCUGGGGAGUACGGUCGCAAGGCUGAA
Molecule: ribosomal RNA, 330 nt
Filed under: uncultured bacterium
Lineage: Bacteria
Description: bacterial SSU rRNA
Rfam family: Bacterial small subunit ribosomal RNA
Source: RNAcentral